UACGUAGGGCGCAAGCGUUAUCCGGAAUUAUUGGGCGUAAAGAGCUCGUAGGCGGCUUGUCGCGUCUGCCGUGAAAGUCCGGGGCUCAACUCCGGAUCUGCGGUGGGUACGGGCAGACUAGAGUGAUGUAGGGGAGACUGGAAUUCCUGGUGUAGCGGUGGAAUGCGCAGAUAUCAGGAGGAACACCGAUGGCGAAGGCAGAUCUCUGGGCCGUAACUGACGCUGAGGAGCGAAAGCGUGGGGAGCGAACAGG
Molecule: ribosomal RNA, 253 nt
Filed under: uncultured bacterium
Lineage: Bacteria
Description: partial 16S ribosomal RNA
Rfam family: Bacterial small subunit ribosomal RNA
Source: RNAcentral